GGAGCACCAAAGAUCAGAGCCAAAGGAGGAUCAUCCUGCUGUGGCGCUGCUUUUGGCUUUAGCAGGGACAGCAAAGGUUCUUCUCAGUUAAAAACACAACUCAUAAAACAAGACAACUACCAGAUUUCCUCCUUCAGAAGUGUGGGAGCCUCAUGCUCAGUGAGUGACUGCAUUUCCCUGGACACAAAUGAAAAAUCACCUUGUGCUCAGGUAAAGAAAGUGUCAGCAUUGCCUAGAAAAGAUGCUGAGAGGAAAAAUGAGCUGGAAGGCACAUCUGCAGCCCCAGAUCACAUUUUCACUUGCUUGAGCGUGUCAGAGUAUCCGACACUGCAACGUUGGACUCUCCUUGGGCACAGAAAUCCUGACUGACAGUUCGGAAUGGAAGCAGGGAAAUACUGAACUCAUGGGCAGGAAAUGGACAUCAUUCAUUCUAAGGAAAAAAAAUCAACUUGGAAAAGCACUCGGAACUUCUCCUACACCCACGUGACGGGAUGGGACCGUGAUGGCUUCUGAGAUGGCUGGAAAACUGCUCCUGACAUGGAUGGCAUCAUCACCAAGAGGGGCUUCUGCACAAAGAAUCCCAAAGCCUAUAAAGUCAUUAAAAAUUGUGCAUCGAAGAAAAGGCAGAGAAAACCCCCAGGACCGGAAGGUGCAAAUACCAGAAACAGCACCCAGCGAGAAAGGAAAUGCCAGCAGUCAGCAAAGAUUGCCAUUUAGCAAGGAAGGGAAACCUCCCAUGUUUUGGCCUAAAAUGCAGGUAAACCUCCCCCAUCCAUGUUUGGAUUUCAGUAUCAAGGUAAGAAAAAGGAAGGCAUAAACCACAGCUCCUCAAUGGGCAUUAAGCAUCUAAUACUUUAAGCCUACACAGAGGCAUUGCCACCCUGGCCUGAUGCUGUUUCUGUCAGACUGAGCCUGUCUAGAGAACUGCGGUUUCCUCAAAAAUAAUUUGUGACCAACUUCCUCUUGCACCCCAAGCUGUAGCUACAAGGGUGUGUAAAGCUUUAUUUUAAAAUUUCUCAAGACUUAAGAACUUGACACCCCUGAGCCCCCAGGCCAGCCCAGGCCGUGUUCAGCUGCCCUGGUGCUGCUCCCCAGGGCCCUGGGGGAACGCCCAGCGCAGCAGCCCCAGGGAGGCUCUGUUUAGUCUGGACACCCCUUAUCAGUGAGACAUCCUGUGAUGCUGAGAGGAAGCCCCACAUCAUUUCCUGCUCCUGGCCAGACGUGUCUCAGCGGGAGCAGGCGGCCACUCCCCUUCCCCUUAUCAGAGCCCUGGAGAUUGUGAGCUUGGCUUCUGCUCUUCCCUCCUCCCUUAAAGCCACCACGCCAGGGACCUGCAGCUCCCACCUCCAGGAGCACCUGUGUCUCACCACAGGCUGCUCCAGCACUCCUCUGCCAUGAGCUUUUCAGGGCUGAGUUAAACUAUGUAAAGUAUUUGAAGUACAUAUAAAUACACACAAAUUAAAGUCUGUUAAACAGAAGCUUUUGAGGACUAUGAGGGAGCUAAAGGGGCACCUCUGUGGCAGGUGCAUGGGAUGAGGUUAAAUUCAGGCUCCAU
Zonotrichia leucophrys gambelii is the source of this 1555-nucleotide long non-coding RNA. RefSeq lists it as uncharacterized. Lineage: Eukaryota; Metazoa; Chordata; Aves; Passeriformes; Passerellidae. The transcript is spliced from 7 exons. The record is from RefSeq and is a predicted model, not a curated record.